Beta vulgaris subsp. vulgaris (sugar beet) is the source of this 1149-nucleotide long non-coding RNA. RefSeq lists it as uncharacterized. The transcript has 2 exons. Lineage: Eukaryota; Viridiplantae; Streptophyta; Magnoliopsida; Caryophyllales; Amaranthaceae. The record is from RefSeq and is a predicted model, not a curated record.
GAUUUUUAAGAGUGUUCUAAUUAUUAUUAUUAUCCAAAAUUAUAGAUGUUAGAUCUUUUUAUUAUAUUUAUGUUGGAAUAUGAAGUUUAUAUUUUAAUUAGCGAUAUUUUAGUAGUUUAUUAUUGUUGAUAUUAUAUGUUAAUUCAACAAUACUUUGGAAGUGUUUAAUCUACAAGUAUAUUUCGGAAAACGAUUUUGAAUAACUUGGAGUUCAAAAGGAUAAUAUCGUUAUAUGUUAGUUUAUCGUAGUUAGAAACAUUUACAGUAUUAAGUUAGUAAGUCGUGUUGUAUUUUAGAUGUGAAUAGAAAAGAAAACCCGAAAAUCAUAUACACCACCCCUUGUUGUUUUAGUCGGUCAAUAAACCAAAGGCCCCCAUGUCGUUUAAUUGAAAAACCCCAAAACCCCCAUGUGUGUUUCAUUUUUCCCAAAACCCCAAAGUCCUCAUCCCCUGUUUCCUUCGUCUCCCUCUGUUUGAAUUCCCCCAUCCUCAUCGGAGCUUCUCGCCGCCGCAAGCUAGCGGCGCUAUUUUAUGCUUUCCCUCUCUCCUCUACUCAGUUAGUUGUUGUUGCGAAUUGGCGGUUUUGCCGCCGUGGUUGUCUGCUCCUCCACUGCCCAGCUGUCGUGGUGGUGUUGUGUUGUUGAUGUUGGGUUGUUGUUUGCUAGUCUCCACCGGUUGUCUCUCUCUCUCCUCUGAUUUCUAUUGCGUGUUGUUGCUGGUGCGUCGGUGCUGCUGCCGACACAGUCCCGCAAUGCUGCUGCCGCCACUGUCGCGGUGUUGCAGCUCAAUUCUAGCCACCAGUGAGUUGAUACUAGAGCAGGUUUCUUGUUGGAUUCGCGAAGUUUAAGGUGAGGAUGGAAAUUCAUAGAGGAACUUUAUAUUCGAAAACUUACAAAUGUAAAUUGUACUUGGGUUUAAAUAUGUAUUAGUUAUAUUAGUCUUGUUGAGGUUUCGAUUGAAGAUUUCUUUAAUUAGUUUGUGAUACUGAUUAGUGCCAUUGGGUUUGAUUCCCUCUUGAGGUUGUUUCCGCAAAAGCGUUGUCGGUUUUAGGAUUUGAGAUGGAGAAUAUUAUAUUUUAUUGAGUUUGUAAACAGGUUUAAAUUAUUUCCCACUUUGGGUUGUCCAAUUUUCAGAGGAAAUGCUAUCGAAA